Molecule: non-coding RNA, 46 nt
Organism: Capsicum annuum
Lineage: Eukaryota; Viridiplantae; Streptophyta; Magnoliopsida; Solanales; Solanaceae
Source: Rfam
UAUUCGGCCUUAUUUAAGGCCACUAUAUUACUUAGUGAGACAACUU